Molecule: ribosomal RNA, 810 nt
Filed under: fungal sp. BG11
Lineage: Eukaryota; Fungi
Description: eukaryotic LSU rRNA
Rfam family: Eukaryotic large subunit ribosomal RNA
Source: RNAcentral
CGGCGAGUGAAGCGGCAACAGCUCAAAUUUGAAAUCUGGCCUUCGGGUCCGAGUUGUAAUUUGCAGAGGAUGCUUUUGGCGCGGUGCCUUCCGAGUUCCCUGGAACGGGACGCCUUAGAGGGUGAGAGCCCCGUACGGUUGGACACCAAGCCUCUGUAAAGCUCCUUCGACGAGUCGAGUAGUUUGGGAAUGCUGCUCUAAAUGGGAGGUAAAUUUCUUCUAAAGCUAAAUAUUGGCCAGAGACCGAUAGCGCACAAGUAGAGUGAUCGAAAGAUGAAAAGCACUUUGAAAAGAGGGUUAAACAGCACGUGAAAUUGUUGAAAGGGAAGCGUUUGCGACCAGACCUUCUCCUGGCGGAUCAUCCGGUGGUUUCCACCGGUGCACUUCGCCAGGUCGAGGCCAGCAUCGGUCUUUGUAGGGGGAUAAAAGCUCAGGGAACGUAGCUCCUCCGGGAGUGUUAUAGCCCUCCGCAUAAUACCUUUACGGGGACCGAGGACCGCGCAAGGAUGCUGGCGUAAUGGUUGUCAACGACCCGUCUUGAAACACGGACCAAGGAGUCGAACAUUUGUGCGAGUGUUUGGGUGUUAAACCCUCACGCGUAAUGAAAGUGAACGGAGGUGAGAGCCCUUACGGGUGCAUCAUCGACCGAUCCUGAUGUCUUCGGAUGGAUUUGAGUAAGAGCAUAACUGUUCGGACCCGAAAGAUGGUGAACUAUGCGUGGAUAGGGUGAAGCCAGAGGAAACUCUGGUGGAGGCUCGCAGCGGUUCUGACGUGCAAAUCGAUCGUCAAAUCUGCGCAUGGGGGCGAAAG